This 436-nucleotide ribosomal RNA is filed under the name uncultured bacterium. RNAcentral describes it as "partial 16S ribosomal RNA". It matches the Rfam family "Bacterial small subunit ribosomal RNA", at positions 341 to 792 of the family's 1533-position model. The record is from RNAcentral.
ACGGGAGGCAGCAGUGGGGAAUAUUGGGCAAUGGGCGAAAGCCUGACCCAGCAACGCCGCGUGGAGGAAGAAGGUCUUCGGAUCGUAAACUCCUGUCCUUGGUGAAGAGGAGAAGACGGUAGCCAAGGAGGAAGCCCCGGCUAACUACGUGCCAGCAGCCGCGGUAAUACGUAGGGGGCAAGCGUUGUCCGGAAUGAUUGGGCGUAAAGGGCGCGUAGGCGGCCUGGUAAGUCUGAAGUGAAAGUCCUGGCUUUAAGUUGGGAAUUGCUUUGGAUACUGUCAAGCUAGAGUGCAGGAGAGGUAAGCGGAAUUCCUAGUGUAGCGGUGAAAUGCGUAGAUAUUAGGAGGAACACCAGUGGCGAAGGCGGCUUACUGGACUGUAACUGACGUUGAGGCUCGAAAGCGUGGGGAGCAAACAGGAUUAGAUACCCUGGUA